CCUGGAUUUUGUGGCUGAAGGAUUAGUGGGACUAUCACUGUCUUUAAAAAUGUCUUCAUUUGGAUCAAAAGCCUCAUUUUCCUGAUUUGAGCCUGUUGUAGAAACCUGGU
This is a non-coding RNA of Ceratotherium simum simum (southern white rhinoceros), 110 nucleotides long. The record is from RefSeq and is a predicted model, not a curated record. Lineage: Eukaryota; Metazoa; Chordata; Mammalia; Perissodactyla; Rhinocerotidae.